UGCGGAAUCCGGAGGAAGUCCACGUCUCCGCGUUUUACUAGCAGCUUGAGGAAGAGUAAGGAAAGUGCAGGGGAGGGAAACUGUCGGCUCAGGCUUUCUUCAGGUAAUGGAGUUCCCUCCAGGUGAGAGAACCUGGACCUGAAAGGAAAAGAGAAUGUGCCGCUGGGCAGAGGAUGGGCAAUCCUGCUACCCGAGCCGGCCAGCACCGAGACUUUCUGGAAACAGUGCUGGUGAAUUCAGAACUUAAGGAAUAAAACUGGAACUGAACGAGGAUACAGAGGAUCCUGUGGGAUGACGGACUCAGCUAGGAAAUUCUUCUGCUUCAUGUGAUGUUG
Long non-coding RNA from Tupaia belangeri chinensis (Chinese tree shrew), 335 nucleotides. RefSeq lists it as uncharacterized. The transcript has 3 exons. The record is from RefSeq and is a predicted model, not a curated record. Lineage: Eukaryota; Metazoa; Chordata; Mammalia; Scandentia; Tupaiidae.